GACGAACGCUGGCGGCGUGCUUAACACAUGCAAGUCGAACGGUGAAGUGCUUGCCUUUUUGGUGGGUGUGGAUGAGUGGCGAACGGGUGAGUAACACGUGAGUAACCUGCCCUCUUCUUCUGGAUAACCUCAUGAAAGUGGGGCUAAUACGGGGUAUUCCGGGUCUGUCGCAUGGCGGGUUUGGGAAAGAUUGCGCCUUUGGGUGUUUUCGGUGGGGGAUGGGCUCGCGGCCUAUCAGCUUGUUGGUGGGGUGAUGGCCUACCAAGGCGGUGACGGGUAGCCGGCCUGAGAGGGUGGACGGCCACACUGGGACUGAGACACGGCCCAGACUCCUGCGGGAGGCAGCAGUGGGGAAUAUUGCACAAUGGGCGCAAGCCUGAUGCAGCGACGCCGCGUGAGGGAUGGAGGCCUUCGGGUUGUGAACCUCUUUCGCCAGUGAAGCAGGCCUGCUCCUGUGUGGGUGGGUUGACGGUAGCUGGAGAAGAAGCGCCGGCUAACUACGUG
This 504-nucleotide ribosomal RNA is filed under the name uncultured bacterium. RNAcentral's name for it is "partial 16S ribosomal RNA". It matches the Rfam family "Bacterial small subunit ribosomal RNA", at positions 28 to 507 of the family's 1533-position model. The record is from RNAcentral.